AUGAAAGUAAAACUUUCUGUGAACGUAGCUGCUUCUCGCCGGGUGCGGUGGCGCGUGCCUGUAAUCCAAGCUACCGGGAGGCUGAGGUUGGAGGAUCGUUUGAGCUCAGGAGCUCUGAGCUGCAGCAGGCUAUGUCGAUCGGGUGUCCGCACUAAGUUCGGCAUUGAUAUGGUGAUCCUGGGGGAGCCCGGGACCACCAGGUCGUCUAAGGAGGGGUGCCCAGGUCGGAGACGGAGCAGGUCAAAGCCCCCGUGUCGCUCAGUAGUGGGAUCACGCCUGUGAUUAGACGCUGUAGCGCAGCCUGAGCAAUACAGCGAGACCCAAUCUUUAUACACACCCUUAUACCUGUCACUACAUCACACAGCAUCCUCAUCAGCCCGUCUUUGUCUUUUUAAUUAACGUUAAACACGCUCACAAACCUGCUGCUCUGCUUGUCCUGCACCACCUCCACCUGCAGGACAGCUGCAAAUACAUCCUCCAUCCUAAACACUUCUGAUGCCCAGCAGGUGGAGACAAACUCAAACUAGGAAAUUCAUUCAGGUAACCUUUGGGUUUAAUAUUUGCAUCUUAUGAUCACAGCUUUGACUGUCAUGUAAAAAGGUAAUUUUUUUUUAGAAGUGAACUGUCCACAGCGGACAAGUCUGCACAUUUAGACAUUUACACAGUUACUGCGUGACUUCAGUACAGGCAUGAGUCAGGAUUUUGGGGUAAAGUAAAUGUUUUCUUUCUUCUGCACAUCAGCUGCGAUAACAGUCUAAAUAAUUGCAACUCCCCCAAGAAUGUAGAGAUGACAGCUGCACAACUAAGAGCUCUAUUUUUUUUUUUUUCAACUACUGUGCAAAUCAGCUGUUUCAUUCAAGAGUCAAAAGUGGGAUAAUAAGCCACACCCAGAAUGGUGACUGUGACUUGAAUGCAGCACCAUAGCCCGCCCGGGCAUCUUGACACCCCCUGCUAUACAGUUUUGUAACUUUAAUUAUUCCAAACAGCCGCCUAUGUAGUCUUAAUUGUUCAUAUCAUGCCCCACAUCAGUUAAAAAUGGUCAUAUAAACAUGUAAAUGGAAUUAUAGAAACUGUUGAAAAUUGGAGCGACAAAUAUGACAAUUACAAACAUUGUCAAAGUAACAAGCAUACUAACCUGAUCAGACUUCAAAAAAAGACACAGGAUGGCCAAGCGACCACAGGUGCUGUGUUUAGGCUGCAGUCUCUCCUGGAAUUGUGCGUUCAAAUCCCACUUCCUUCAGCCAGUUUACUGAAUGAAGAUGUUAUGCGCAGUC
Molecule: long non-coding RNA, 1274 nt
Filed under: Oreochromis niloticus (Nile tilapia)
Lineage: Eukaryota; Metazoa; Chordata; Actinopteri; Cichliformes; Cichlidae
Description: lncRNA (ENSONIG00000038193.1)
Rfam family: Metazoan signal recognition particle RNA (bases 38-330)
Source: RNAcentral